This 451-nucleotide ribosomal RNA is filed under the name uncultured bacterium. RNAcentral's name for it is "bacterial SSU rRNA". It matches the Rfam family "Bacterial small subunit ribosomal RNA", at positions 354 to 796 of the family's 1533-position model. The record is from RNAcentral.
GUCGAGAGGCUUUGGCAAUGGGGGAAACCCUGACCAAGCGACGCCGCGUGGAGGAUGAAGGCCCUUGGGUUGUAAACUCCUUUUGUCGGGGAAGAAACUCGAUCAGGUGAACAAUCUGGUCGCUUGACGGUACCCGGCGAAUAAGCUCCGGCUAACUCCGUGCCAGCAGCCGCGGUAACACGGGGGGAGCAAGCGUUGUUCGGAAUCACUGGGCGUAAAGGGCGUGUAGGCGGUCAAGUAAGUGGAAUGUGAAAUGCCUCGGCUCACCCGAGGAUCUGCAUCCCAAACUGCUUGGCUUGAGUAUGGGAGAGGAUGAGGGAAUUCCUGGUGUAGCGGUGAAAUGCGUAGAUAUCAGGAGGAACACCGGUGGCGAAAGCGCUCAUCUGGCCCAAUACUGACGCUGAGGCGCGAAAGCUAGGGGAGCAAACGGGAUUAGAAACCCCAGUAGUCC